Molecule: ribosomal RNA, 492 nt
Filed under: uncultured bacterium
Lineage: Bacteria
Description: partial 16S ribosomal RNA
Rfam family: Bacterial small subunit ribosomal RNA
Source: RNAcentral
AGUGAACGCUGGCGGUAGGCCUAACACAUGCAAGUCGAACGGCAGCACAGUAAGAGCUUGCUCUUACGGGUGGCGAGUGGCGGACGGGUGAGGAAUACAUCGGAAUCUACUUUUUCGUGGGGGAUAACGUAGGGAAACUUACGCUAUUACCGCAUACGACCUACGGGUGAAAGCAGGGGAUCUUCGGACCUUGCGCGAUUGAAUGAGCCGAUGUCGGAUUAGCUAGUUGGCGGGGUAAAGGCCCACCAAGGCGACGAUCCGUAGCUGGUCUGAGGGGAUGAUCAGCCACACUGGAACUGAGACACGGUCCAGACUCCUACGGGAGGCAGCAGUGGGGAAUAUUGGACAAUGGGCGCAAGCCUGAUCCAGCCAUACCGCGUGGGUGAAGAAGGCCUUCGGGUUGUAAAGCCCUUUUGUUGGGAAAGAAAAGCAGCAGGUUAAUACCCCGCUGUUCUGACGGUACCCAAAGAAUAAGCACCGGCUAACUUCGUG